Molecule: long non-coding RNA, 533 nt
Organism: Cyprinus carpio (common carp)
Lineage: Eukaryota; Metazoa; Chordata; Actinopteri; Cypriniformes; Cyprinidae
Source: Ensembl
UCCACCACUGAAAUUAUUUUUCUUCGAUGUCAUCAGUCUCUCUUAUCUGCUUUACCAUCCAAUCAAUAAAAUCUAACCAAAUCCCAUAUAUUGUGUUCUCAGUGCUGUUUCAGAAGAAAAAUGGGUUUCGAACAGCAUUUUAAUGAUGCAAAAGCUUCAAAAAUAUUUUUCUACAUUUUUGAAAGUGUUUGGAUUCAUCUGGUUUCUGUUCCUCAGGUACAUGGAAGGCUCUUUUCCUCACUUUUCUCAUCUGUGCUCUUCUGGGUUCAGUUGGGUUCAUCCUCUACAAAUACAGAGAAAAACUAACAGGGAAGAAACCCGUCAAAGAAAGUAAGUAAACUACAUGUGCAUCAUUUUAACAUCCAAAAAUACAUAUGAAUAUACUUCUGUUUUCCUCAUUUGUUAGUCACUUUGGAUAAAAGCUUCUGCUAAAUGAUUGUAUGUAAAUGUAAAGGAAUCAGCUUAACAUCAGAAUUUAUUGUGGUUGAUUAAGUGGAGUAUUUGUGUAAAUAAAUUGGUAAUUAAACCCUCCA